Molecule: ribosomal RNA, 351 nt
Filed under: Helictopleurus cribricollis
Lineage: Eukaryota; Metazoa; Arthropoda; Insecta; Coleoptera; Scarabaeidae
Description: partial 16S ribosomal RNA
Source: RNAcentral
ACCUGCCCUAUGAUAAAAAUUAAAUGGCCGCGAUAUUUUGAUCGUGCAAAGGUAGCAUAAUCAUUAGUUUCUUAAUUAGGAACUGGAAUGAAAGGUUGAACGAGAAAAAAGCUGUCUCAAUUUAAAUUAAUUAAAAUUUUAUUUUUAAGUAAAAAAGCUUAAAUAAUUUUAAAAGACGAGAAGACCCUAUAGAGUUUUAUAUUUAAUUAUUUUUAAAAAAAAUAUAGUAAUUAAAUUUUUAUUUAUAUUUAAAUAUUUAGUUGGGGUGACUAGAAAAUUAAAUAAACUUUUUUUUUAUUUAAACAUUAAUAUAUGAAAAAUUGAUCCAUAUUAUUAUGAUUAAAAGAUUAA